This 112-nucleotide ribosomal RNA is filed under the name Winogradskyella pacifica. The record is from RNAcentral. Lineage: Bacteria; Pseudomonadati; Bacteroidota; Flavobacteriia; Flavobacteriales; Flavobacteriaceae.
UAAGGUGGUUAUAGCGACGGGGCUCACCUCUAACCAUUCCGAACAGAGUAGUUAAGCCCGUUUGCGCCGAUGGUACUGCUUUACUGUGGAAGAGUAGGUCACCGCCUUUUUU